GAUGAAGAACGUAGCGAAAUGCGAUAAGUAAUGCGAAUUGCAGAAUUUCCGUGAGUCAUCGAAUCUUUGAACGCACAUUGCGCCCACUGGUAUUCCGGUGGGCAUACCUGUUCGAGCGUCAUUAUCCUCCCUCAAACCUCGGGUUUGGUGUUGGACCCAAGUUGUGUGAACAACUGGUCUUAAAGACAAUGACGGCGUCCGUGGGACCCUCGGUGCAACGAGCUUUUAGGAGCACGCGCCGAGUUUCAAGGACCUUCCGGGCCGGUCUCCUUUACCAUUUUACAAGGUUGACCUCGGAUCAGGUAGGAAUACCCGCUGAACUUAAGCAUAUCAAUAAGCGGAGGA
RNAcentral lists this unclassified non-coding RNA (345 nucleotides) under soil metagenome. RNAcentral's name for it is "partial contains 5.8S ribosomal RNA, internal transcribed spacer 2, and large subunit ribosomal RNA". The stretch from base 1 to 121 matches the Rfam family "5.8S ribosomal RNA", at positions 35 to 154 of the family's 154-position model. The record is from RNAcentral.